Molecule: long non-coding RNA, 670 nt
Filed under: Medicago truncatula (barrel medic)
Lineage: Eukaryota; Viridiplantae; Streptophyta; Magnoliopsida; Fabales; Fabaceae
Description: long non-coding RNA (MTRU_LNC004340)
Source: RNAcentral
UCUCUUCAUCCUUAGCAACAAACACUCUCAACCUAAAAAAAUUACAACACCAUUCAUAUUCAUCUCUUCUUCCUUAGCACAAAAAAUUAAAAACAUCACAACUUUCUCCCAUCAUCAAUCUAGGGAUAAAACUCAUACCUAGAAAAUCAUCACACACCAACACAUUUCACUUCUCUCUUGUCUCACAUCUAUCCCAAAUCAAAACAAACCAAAAUUUGAAAUUUGAAUUUGAAUCCGAAUAUGAACCAAAAUCUAAGCAGUGAGAACUUUAGCCCUAGUGCACUUGAUCAACCUACAAUAGCAACUGAAAAUAUGGCAGCUCGAGAUGUGUUAAUUGAUUAAAACUAGCUAAGGUACAAGACAUGCUAAAUCUUAGCACAUGAAUACAACGUCUAAAUACAUGACUACAUGAACACUCAAACAACAAUAGGAAAUAAUCGUCCGUAUUCUAGAAUUAAAAAAAAAAAAUGGUCCUUAUUCAAAAAUUCGGAUGUAUAGUAAAGGAGUUUUAGGGGGUGCACAAAACGUGUGAGAGGGUGGGAAAACAAUUUCAUUUUAUGAUGACAUCCUUAGUAUUGACCUUUUCUUGUCAUAGUUGUCGGGCUUCAAAAUGAACAUUUUUUUAGUAAACAAUGACAAUGUAUUGAUGUUGAGCAGUUGUGAUUAGGGG